Molecule: long non-coding RNA, 479 nt
Organism: Ictalurus punctatus (channel catfish)
Lineage: Eukaryota; Metazoa; Chordata; Actinopteri; Siluriformes; Ictaluridae
Source: Ensembl
CACAAACGCAGCUGUGAGAAAACGCAGCAACUUCCUCUUCCAAACCAACAGACGGCGCUAUCGGUCAAUUUACACCAGUCUCCCGAGAAGCAUUACAUCAUUCCACAGUACAGUGCAGGUUCGCGGGGAACCUGGAGCCUGUCCCAGGGAGUAUGGGGCACAAGGCAGGGUACACCCUGGACAGGGUGCCAAUCCAUCGCAGAGCACAAUCAUAUACGCAAUCACACACUACAGACCCUUUGGACAUGCCAGUCAGCCUACCAUGCUUUGGACUGUGGGGAAAACCAAAGUACACAGAGGAAACCCUGCAGCACGGGGGAGCCGCGGGAAUCAAACCCCCAACCCUGGUGGUGUGAGGCAAACGUGCUAACCACUAAGCCAGAUCAAUACCGUAUAAUGUCCAAUAUUGUCCAAAAAGUGUUACUGAUUGUACUGAUGGAAUCUAAGUGUAAUAAAAUGAUAUAAUGUUGUAUGUUUUA